UACGUAGGGGGCGAGCGUUGUCCGGAUUUAUUGGGCGUAAAGAGCGUGUAGGCGGCCAGGUAGGUCUGCUGUGAAAACUCGAGGCUCAACCUCGAGACGUCGGCGGAAACCAUCUGGCUAGAGUCCGGAAGAGGAGAGUGGAAUUCCUGGUGUAGCGGUGAAAUGCGCAGAUAUCAGGAAGAACACCCGUGGCGAAGGCGGCUCUCUGGGACGGUACUGACGCUGAGACGCGAAAGCGUGGGGAGCGAACCGG
Molecule: ribosomal RNA, 253 nt
Filed under: uncultured bacterium
Lineage: Bacteria
Description: partial 16S ribosomal RNA
Rfam family: Bacterial small subunit ribosomal RNA
Source: RNAcentral